RNAcentral lists this transfer RNA (70 nucleotides) under Heterodontus portusjacksoni (Port Jackson shark). RNAcentral describes it as "tRNA-Ile". It matches the Rfam family "tRNA". From Rfam's summary of the family: Transfer RNA (tRNA) molecules are approximately 80 nucleotides in length. Their secondary structure includes four short double-helical elements and three loops (D, anti-codon, and T loops). Lineage: Eukaryota; Metazoa; Chordata; Chondrichthyes; Heterodontiformes; Heterodontidae. RNAcentral also lists the same sequence under 1 other name. The record is from RNAcentral.
GGAAGCGUGCCUGAACUAAAGGACCACUUUGAUAGAGUGGAUUAUGAGAGUUAAACUCUCUCCACUUCCC